Non-coding RNA from Oryctolagus cuniculus (rabbit), 2957 nucleotides. Lineage: Eukaryota; Metazoa; Chordata; Mammalia; Lagomorpha; Leporidae. The record is from RefSeq and is a predicted model, not a curated record.
AGGCCGGGACAGUAUGACUGCCCCUUUCUUUCUUUUAAAAACGUUCCUAAGAUUCAGUGUUAGGCAGACCUCGUACUUAAUAUUCUGUGUCGGCGGCCAGGUUUAAUUCUUCUAAUUAAGAACAGCAUCAAUUUCUUUGCCGAAAUUGGCUUUAAGAAGUACUUUUUCACAGCUGUAACCGUGGGUACUCAUGUGUAAGGUACUAUUACUACUACACUCAAAGUCUGAAGACCUCCCCAAGAGUGAGAAUUCAGAGUCUUGAGUUCCUAACUUACAUCAAACAUUUGCUGUACAGAUAUCUAUGAUUUUCUGCUACACAUAGUGAGGAGGGUACUUCCAAAAAAUUCAUGGAAAAAAGGGAAUUAAAACAAAAGUUUUUUGGUGCAAAAAGAUUUUGAAAUCCAGGCAUAGUUGUUUUUUAUAAUACAAAUUUUCCAUCCAUUUUUUGAAGUACUGUUGUACACAUAAGAUUUACAUGUGAUUUCUGAAUAGUUUCCAACUAUUACUAUGGAGAUUUUUUUGGUUUAUAUUUCUACUUUUAAAAAUACGUUUAUUAAAUAAGCUUUGAUCACAGCUCUUCUUUGCUCCAUUUUCCCUUAAGGCUGCCAGUACUGGCCCCUUUACAUACUCUUCCUAUUUUUGUUGUGAUAAUUAUUUACAAGGGAUGACAUUUGCUCCCCCACAAAAAAAUUACUACUCUCACCUCAUACAAACUUGGAUGACCAAAAUUCAGUGUAAGGUGAUUGUGUAAUGGAUUAUCAACAUAGUAGAGGAAACAUCUCAGUUUGAAAAAGUGAAGUUUUCCUGCAGCACAAAAAUUCUUUAAAUAGUGACCCUAGGAGUGGGGGCCUCAUUCUGUUUUAGUUGAAGGAAAUCUAAGUUCAUUUCAAGGCAUUCGAAAUGGGGAAAGACUAUUAUUGCAUUUUGGGAAUUGAAAAAGGAGCUUCAGAUGAAGAUAUUAAAAAGGCUUACCGAAAACAAGCCCUCAAAUUUCAUCCGGACAAGAACAAAUCUCCUCAGGCAGAGGAAAAAUUUAAAGAGGUCGCAGAAGCUUAUGAAGUGUUGAGUGAUCCUAAAAAGAGAGAAAUAUAUGAUCAGUAUGGGGAGGAAGGGUUGAAAGGAGGCGCAGGAGGUACUGAUGGACAAGGAGGUACCUUCCGGUACACGUUUCAUGGCGAUCCACAUGCCACAUUUGCUGCAUUUUUCGGAGGUUCCAAUCCCUUUGAAAUUUUCUUUGGCAGACGGAUGGGUGGUGGUAGAGAUUCUGAAGAAAUGGAAAUAGAUGGAGAUCCUUUCAGUGCCUUUGGAUUCAGCAUGAAUGGUUACCCAAGAGACAGGAAUUCUGUGGGGCCAUCCCGCCUCAAACAAGAUCCUCCGGUUAUUCAUGAACUCAGAGUAUCACUUGAAGAAAUAUAUAGUGGUUGUACCAAACGGAUGAAGAUUUCUCGGAAAAGGUUGAACCCUGAUGGAAGGAGUUACAGAUCUGAGGACAAAAUUCUCACCAUUGAGAUUAAAAAAGGGUGGAAAGAAGGCACCAAAAUUACUUUUCCAAGGGAAGGAGAUGAAACACCAAAUAGUAUUCCAGCAGAUAUUGUUUUCAUUAUUAAAGACAAAGAUCACCCAAAAUUUAAAAGAGAUGGAUCAAAUAUAAUUUAUAAUGCUAAAAUUAGUUUACGGGAGGCAUUGUGUGGCUGCUCAAUUAAUGUGCCAACAAUGGAUGGAAGAAACAUACCUAUGUCAAUAAAUGAUAUUGUGAAACCUGGAAUGAGAAGAAGAAUUAUUGGAUACGGGCUGCCAUUUCCAAAAAAUCCAGACCAACGUGGUGAUCUUCUAAUAGAAUUUGAUGUGUCCUUCCCAGAUACUAUAUCCUCAUCAUCCAAAGAAGUACUUAGGAAACAUCUUCCUGCCUCAUAGAAUGAAGAACUUUGUUACCCAUAUUUUGAUAAGGCACUGAAAAUAUAAAAGGACUGGCAGUUUACUGAUGUAGAUGUGAAUUCUGUAUAAAGAUGUGCAAAUUCUUUUGAGGGCUCAUUAAGUUGCAUGAACAGAGACGGGUCAAAUAAAUAGGGCAAAAGGGAUUUUUACAGUUAGAGAUGAAGAGAGAACCAUUCACUGUAUUUUAUUUCAUUUCUCCCAAAUCAGAAAUUUUUAGUCUUUUGCUUAUAUGUGAAGAUGUUAGAUAUAUUUCUAAAAAAAGUACUAGACUAUCCAAGUACUUUAUUCCUUAUAUCUUUAGAUAAUCAAUAUGAUAGGCUCCCAUUUAUAAUGGAAAUUAAAAUUCUUAGCUAAACAAUACAAUAGAAGGGAUUAAAAACCCAGUCAUUUGGACAUGUGGUUGUUAAAUUUAAACCACCUGAAAUGCGGCUAUAGGGCUGGUACUGGUAAAAGAAUAUCCUGAUGCUUAUGUUUCACCAUUUGGUUUUUAAAGUAUGCUAUGCCAUUUCCUCACGUAGUGGUCAUGUUCUUAAGGUAGACCUUUUCUUCAUACAAAGAAAAUUAAUGGCAAUUUAUCUCCUGUGGAAAUCCCAAUUGCCUGAAUUACUGAUAUUUUAGAAUAGACUCUUUAUAAAAUGCCAAAUGUAAUUUUAUGCAAGUUAACUAUAUAUCUUGAACUUAAUAACGUAUAGGCUCAUUUUGUUGUCCACUAGUUUAAAAUAAUUUGUUUAAUAAUAAAUGUGUUUUUGGAAGACAUAAUGUUUCUUGGAAUUAAUUUUCCAAUUACACAGUCUUCUAUAGCUUACUCAUAAUAUGCUAUAUGUUCCUUAUAUAAUUUCCCUAAAAAGAAUAAACUUACCACUAUGGUUUUAACCAAAAUAUGGGGAAUAUAAAUACUAACUGCUGCUUAUGGAUAAUGUUGCAACUACUUGUUAUGCCUAUAAAUAUUUUACUUUUUCAUAUGUAUAGAUUGCAUUUCUUAGGUGUUUUAAUUUUUUAAAUAUAUUCACAUUUAAAAAAUA